This 491-nucleotide long non-coding RNA is filed under the name Hordeum vulgare. Its description in RNAcentral is "long non-coding RNA (HVUL_LNC008967)". Lineage: Eukaryota; Viridiplantae; Streptophyta; Magnoliopsida; Poales; Poaceae. The record is from RNAcentral.
CCCUGAUCGGGGGCGUCCAGCCCAAGCAAGGCUGGUGGGCCCCUGUCGCGCAGUGCUAUAUGUAGAGGAGGUGGGGACCAUGGCACGGGUUACGAGGUUCGCCGCCGCCACUGGUUCCCCACUCUCUAAUCCUAAUCCGAUCUAGAGGGAUGCACUAAAGCGACGGGAAGUCCAUCACCGCCACUACCGGAUCUCUCUCCUUCCCCACCGUCGUCACCACCUCACGACGGUAGCCGGAGGGAGCUCAUCGAUUACGGGAUAAGGUAACAAAUCUCCACAUCACACCGAACACAUCUAGCCUUGUCGAUCCACAGGAUCUAUCAUACCCAUGUUGAAGUGUCGGUCGACAUGGAGACAACUAAUGAAAAUCAAGGUGUGUCCAAAGGCCCGACCAUUCAACUUUGUAGUCAUCCUCAUCCUUCAAGCCCUGUGCCCCAUGUUGAUAGUACCUCUCCAUCAGCUGCCAUGGAAGACAUAGAAGUGGCUAUUGU